This 343-nucleotide unclassified non-coding RNA is filed under the name soil metagenome. RNAcentral describes it as "partial contains 5.8S ribosomal RNA, internal transcribed spacer 2, and large subunit ribosomal RNA". The stretch from base 1 to 120 matches the Rfam family "5.8S ribosomal RNA", at positions 35 to 154 of the family's 154-position model. The record is from RNAcentral.
GAUGAAGAACCCAGCGAAAUGCGAUAAGUAAUGUGAAUUGCAGAAUUCAGUGAAUCAUCGAAUCUUUGAACGCACAUUGCGCCCGCUAGUAUUCUGGCGGGCAUGCCUGUCCGAGCGUCAUUUCAACCCUCAAGCCCCCGGGCUUGGUGUUGGGGAUCGGCGAGCCUCCGCGCCCGCCGUCCCCUAAAUCUAGUGGCGGUCUCGCUGUAGCUUCCUCUGCGUAGUAGCACACCUCGCACUGGGAAACAGCGCGGCCACGCCGUUAAACCCCCAACUUCUGAACGUUUGACCUCGGAUCAGGUAGGAAUACCCGCUGAACUUAAGCAUAUCAAUAAGCGGAGGA